This 449-nucleotide ribosomal RNA is filed under the name uncultured bacterium. Its description in RNAcentral is "partial 16S ribosomal RNA". It matches the Rfam family "Bacterial small subunit ribosomal RNA", at positions 29 to 523 of the family's 1533-position model. The record is from RNAcentral.
AACGAACGCUGGCGGCAGGCUUAACACAUGCAAGUCGAACGCCCUAGCAAUAGGGAGUGGCGCACGGGUGAGUAACGCGUGGGAAUAUACCGUUUAGUGGGGAAUAACGUUGGGAAACUAACGCUAAUACCGCAUACGCCCGAGAGGGGAAAGAUUUAUCGCUAAAUGAUUAGCCCGCGUGAGAUUAGGUAGUUGGUGGGGUAAUGGCCUACCAAGCCUACGAUCUCUAGCUGGUCUGAGAGGAUGAUCAGCCACACUGGAACUGAGACACGGUCCAGACUCCUACGGGAGGCAGCAGUGGGGAAUAUUGGACAAUGGGCGCAAGCCUGAUCCAGCCAUGCCGCGUGAGUGAUGAAGGCCUUAGGGUUGUAAAGCUCUUUCGCCGAUGAAGAUAAUGACGGUAGUCGGAGAAGAAGCCCCGGCUAACUUCGUGCCAGCCGCCGCGGUAA